RNAcentral lists this ribosomal RNA (522 nucleotides) under uncultured Glomeraceae. RNAcentral's name for it is "SSU rRNA". It matches the Rfam family "Eukaryotic small subunit ribosomal RNA", at positions 569 to 1092 of the family's 1831-position model. The record is from RNAcentral. Lineage: Eukaryota; Fungi; Glomeromycota; Glomeromycetes; Glomerales; Glomeraceae.
AGCAGCCGCGGUAAUUCCAGCUCCAAUAGCGUAUAUUAAAGUUGUUGCAGUUAAAAAGCUCGUAGUUGAAUUUCGGGAUCAAUUUGCUGGUCGUGCCUCUGGUACGUACUGGUAUUAUUGGUUUCUCCCUUCUGACGAACCAUGAUGUCAUUAAUUUGAUGUCGAGGAGAAUCAGGACUGUUACUUUGAAAAAAUUAGAGUGUUUAAAGCAGGCAUUAGCUUGAAUACAUUAGCAUGGAAUAAUGAAAUAGGACGUUUGAUCCUAUUUUGUUGGUUUCUAGGAUUGACGUAAUGAUUAAUAGGGAUAGUUGGGGGCAUUAGUAUUCAAUUGUCAGAGGUGAAAUUCUUGGAUUUAUUGGAGACUAACUACUGCGAAAGCAUUUGCCAAGGAUGUUUUCAUUAAUCAAGAACGAAAGUUAGGGGAUCGAAGACGAUCAGAUACCGUCGUAGUCUUAACCAUAAACUAUGCCGACUAGGGAUCGGAUGAUGUUAAUUUUUUAAUGACUCAUUCGGCGCCUUACG